AUACGGAGGGUGCAAGCGUUGUCCGGAUUUAUUGGGUUUAGAGGGUGUGUAGGCGGUGUAUUAAGUCAGUGGUGAAAGCCUGCGGCUCAACCGUAGAACUGCCAUUGAUACUGACACACUUGAGUAUGGACGAGGUAGGCGGAAUUUAUGGUGUAGCGGUGAAAUGCAUAGAUACCAUAAAGAACACCGAUAGCGAAGGCAGCUUACUAGGCCAUAACUGACGCUGAGGCACGAAAGCGUGGGGAGCGAGCAGGAUUAGAAACCCCGGUAGUCC
This 274-nucleotide ribosomal RNA is filed under the name uncultured bacterium. Its description in RNAcentral is "partial 16S ribosomal RNA". It matches the Rfam family "Bacterial small subunit ribosomal RNA", at positions 523 to 796 of the family's 1533-position model. The record is from RNAcentral.